RNAcentral lists this ribosomal RNA (497 nucleotides) under uncultured bacterium. Its description in RNAcentral is "partial 16S ribosomal RNA". It matches the Rfam family "Bacterial small subunit ribosomal RNA", at positions 28 to 507 of the family's 1533-position model. The record is from RNAcentral.
GAUGAACGCUGGCGGCGUGCCUAAUACAUGCAAGUCGAGCGAACGGACGAGAAGCUUGCUUCUCUGAUGUUAGCGGCGGACGGGUGAGUAACACGUGGAUAACCUACCUAUAAGACUGGGAUAACUUCGGGAAACCGGAGCUAAUACCGGAUGAUAUUUUGAACCGCAUGGUUCAAAAGUGAAAGACGGUCUUGCUGUCACUUAUAGAUGGAUCCGCGCUGCAUUAGCUAGUUGGUAAGGUAACGGCUUACCAAGGCAACGAUGCAUAGCCGACCUGAGAGGGUGAUCGGCCACACUGGAACUGAGACACGGUCCAGACUCCUACGGGAGGCAGCAGUAGGGAAUCUUCCGCAAUGGGCGAAAGCCUGACGGAGCAACGCCGCGUGAGUGAUGAAGGUCUUCGGAUCGUAAAACUCUGUUAUUAGGGAAGAACAUAUGUGUAAGUAUCUGUGCACAUCUUGACGGUACCUAAUCAGAAAGCCACGGCUAACUACGUG